GACGAACGCUGGCGGCGUGCCUAAUACAUGCAAGUAGAACGGUGAAGAGAGGAGCUUGCUCUUUUCGGAUGAGUGGCGAACGGGUGAGUAACGCGUAGGUAACCUGCCUGGUAGCGGGGGAUAACUAUUGGAAACGAUAGCUAAUACCGCAUAAGAUGCGUUAUCGCAUGAUCAUCGAGUGAAAGGAGCAACUGCAUGACUACCACAUGGGCCUUCGUUGUUUUAGCUUGAUGGUGGGGUAACGGCUCACCAAGGCGACGAGACAUAGCCGACCGGAGAGGAUGAGUGGCCAGACUGAGACGGUGACAGGGCACAGAGUGCUACAGGAAGCAGCCGGAGGGAAUCUUGGGCAAGAGGCGGAAGACAGUGCGAGAUACGCCGAAGGAGGAAACAAGGUUGUCGGGUCGUAGAGCUCUGUUGUAAGGGAGGAACGAGUUUUAGGGUGGAAAGUUCAGACAGUGACGGUAUCUGAAGAGAAAGCGACGGCUAACUACGUG
This 497-nucleotide ribosomal RNA is filed under the name uncultured bacterium. RNAcentral describes it as "partial 16S ribosomal RNA". It matches the Rfam family "Bacterial small subunit ribosomal RNA", at positions 28 to 507 of the family's 1533-position model. The record is from RNAcentral.